Molecule: long non-coding RNA, 1231 nt
Organism: Ictalurus furcatus (blue catfish)
Lineage: Eukaryota; Metazoa; Chordata; Actinopteri; Siluriformes; Ictaluridae
Exons: 2
Source: RefSeq, a predicted model, not a curated record
UAUAAACUGGUCCAUUUUAUCUGUGAGUAUACAGUCUAUAGUGUCUAUACAGUCCAUAUUGUUAAAAUUAAUGUUUAUGGAGAAGUGCGAUACUUUAAGAAAGUGCUCUUCAGAAUAUUUGUUUCUAUGGCAACUGCUUCUGUAAAGUGUUACCAUGGUCUGAAUCAUAACUCCUAGAGUAAACCACAUAGGCAGGCUGUUUUUCUCCAACAUCUGGCAUGAAAGAUUUUUCAGGUGCACUUUUAUGCUGUGGAUCUCCCAUUCUACCACAUCCCUAAGCUGUUCUUGUGGAUUCAGAUCCGGUGACUGAGAAGGCCACUGAAGAACACUGAACUACUUAUGCUCAUGAAACCAGUUUGAGAGGACUUUUGCUUUGUGACAUAGUGCAUGGUGCUGGAAGUAGCCAUUAGAAGAUGGUAAAUUGUGGCCAUGAAAGGAUGCACAUGGUCAGCAACAACACUCAAAUAGGCUGUGGCAUUCAAGCAAUUAUUGAUUGGUAUUAACAGGCCCAAAGUAUACCAAGAAAACAUUCCCCACACCAUUACACCAAUUCCUCCAGCCUAGACACAAGGCAGGUUGGGUCCAUGGAUUCAUGCUGUUGGUGCAAAAUUCUGAUCCUACCAUUUGUGUGUCUCAGCAGAAAUUGAGAUUCAUCAGAGCAGGCUACAUUUUUCCAGUCUUCACUUGUCUAGUUUUGGUUUGUCUGUGCCCACUGCAGCCUCAGCUUUCUGUUCUAAGCUGACAGACUUGGAGCCCGACGUGGUCUUGUGCUGUCGUAGCCCAUCCACCUCAAGGUUCAAUGUGUUGUGCAUUCUAAGAUGUUUUUCUGCUCACUACAACUGUACAGAAUGGUUAUGUGAGUUGCCGUAGCCUUUCUGUCAGCUCGAACCAGUCUGGACCAUUCUCUGUAGACCUCUACUUGUUUCUGUCCACAGAACUGCUGCUCACUGGAUGUUUUUUCUUUAUUGAACCAUUCAGAGUAAACUUUAAGAGAUUGUUAGGAGUGAAAAUCUCAGUAGAUCAGCAGUUAAAGAAAUACCCAAACCAAACAAUCAUGCCUUGAUAAUUUUUUCCCCCAUUCUGAUGGUUGAUGUGAACAUUAACCGGAGCUGCUGGCCCAUAUCCGCAUAAUUUUAUGCAUCGCACUGCUGACGCACAAUUGGCUGAUUAGAUAACUGUAUGAAUGAACAGGUGUAAAGAUGUUCCUAAUAAAGUUCUCAUGGUGUGUACA